GAUGAAGAACGUAGCGAAAUGCGAUAAGUAAUGUGAAUUGCAGAAUUCAGUGAAUCAUCGAAUCUUUGAACGCACAUUGCGCCCGCCAGUAUUCUGGCGAGCAUGCCUGUUCGAGCGUCAUUUCAACCAUCAAGCCCCAGGCUUGUGUUGGAGCCCUGCGGCUGCCGCAGCCUCCCAAAACCAGUGGCGGGCUCGCUAUCACACCGAGUGCAGUAGUUUACUCUUCGCUCAGGGCGUGUGGCGGGUGCUAGCCGUGAAACCCCCAACUUCUCAAGGUUGACCUCGGAUCAGGUAGCAAUACCCGCUGAACUUAAGCAUAUCCAUAAGCGGAGGA
RNAcentral lists this unclassified non-coding RNA (334 nucleotides) under soil metagenome. RNAcentral's name for it is "partial contains 5.8S ribosomal RNA, internal transcribed spacer 2, and large subunit ribosomal RNA". The stretch from base 1 to 120 matches the Rfam family "5.8S ribosomal RNA", at positions 35 to 154 of the family's 154-position model. The record is from RNAcentral.